UUGUCUCUCACAUCUAAUCUCCUUGCCUCCUCCUGCGUCCUCCCUGUCUCUCUCGACUCUCUCUCUCUCCCCUCUCGACUCCGCCGCCGGCGCCGCUGCCCCGCGCCGGCCCGUCGCCGCCCACCCUUGUCGCUGCGUCGCGCCGCUGCCGCCCACCCUCGUCUCCCUCUUAAUCUCCUCUCUCUCUGACUCAAAUGCACGCACACCACACCGCGCCUGAAAUCUAGAUCUAUAAUCUACAGCCACCUCCCUGCCGAUUCCCGUCGACCGCACGGCGGGAAGGCCGCCGCCUCCGAGCGCAGCCCAAAGCCCCCUCUUCUCUCCAUACUCCGGCGACAACAGCGGCUCCUUGCCGCCGCCGUGCCCUAGCUUCAAUCCGCCGCUGAACUCCCUCUUCCGGCCGCACCACCUGUCCGACCACCACAGCACCAGCCCAGCCGCCUUCGUCGCAGCGCAACACCAUCGCGACCCACUCCAGAACCGCUGCCCCCCACCAUCUCCCGGCAUCUACACAAGGCGGCUUCGUGCGCCACCCAUCGUUCUUAUCAUGAACGCCGAGGAAGAGCCACCAGUCGGCGCGAUUUACACCAUACCAGCAGCGCCAAACACCUCCUGCCACCGUCUCCCGCCGCCCAGUCACCUUCGCCCUUUUCCUGUCACCACCGUCAGUUUCCAGACACUGCCGCGCGGCCCCAGCUCCAAUCUCAACCCCGCUGUCUGCCGGAGCGAGCCCUGCCCUCCUCCACCGUUCAGGGAAGUUUAUUUCUUCAUUUUUGUGUUGUUCCAAUCAGGACUUGAUUUUUUGCUAAAUUAGGGCUCAAAUCUAGAAAGAGGCUUCCCCAAAUUGAUCUAUAAAAGGAUUUGAACAUAUUGACGCUAUUAAGUCCAGAUUUUUAGAUAUAUUACACUAUUAAAGACUAAGAGAUGAACUAAUUCGAUGCUAUAUGGGAUAAAUGAAAUUUUCUUGCUACAAACACUGGAAAAGUAAUAGUGACAGAUUCUGUAUGUUUAUCAAUGUGGAUUGUUGCUGGUUAAUAGUUUAGAAGUAUAAUCAUCUUCCUUAUAGGAGAUUGUAGUGAUUGCUUUUACAGUGUGAAGUUUCUAUUGUGAAGGGGAUAAAAUGUAGUGCAUGUAGCAGUUGAAACAAUUAUAACUGUUAUUGUGCAUGGAUGAACUUCGAGGAAGUGUGAAUAGAGAACCUUUUGUGCUUGUGAACUAAAUGGUUGAGAUUAUUAAGACCUAAAAGUUCAUUACCAAAAAGUAUCUAAUUGCUAUAAUAAUUAGCUUUACGUUUCAUUUAGCAUUGCAGGUUCGGUGGACCUCGGAGGAGAGGAAGUGGUCCUUGUAUUUUACUCUUUUGUAGAAAUAAAAAAGCCUUUGAGUAGUUACUGAGCUACUUAUUGGUUCUUGGAAGAGCACUCACAUCCUUUUAUUUUCAUGGAGAUCACAAAUGACCUUUUAAUUUGCGGGUUUCUCACUCUUUUGCUGCCUGUGAAGGAGCUCUUACUUGUUGUAGAUGCCUCCCAGGUGCUUCUGGAUUCUUGAGGUGCUAAACCGGAUUGCUGGACUGGACAGGAAAUCAUGAUUUCCUAAUAGUUUUGAAUAAGUGAAUUUGGGCAUUCUUGAGGUAAGAUAGCUAAAUGUUUGAUGCUUAUGUAAUUGAACUCUUGGGAGCGUGGAAUGUGAUUAUAUGAUAGAAAUUGGGGGAUAUUGAGCAUGUUACUAUGUGUUGAGCCAAUUUUGAUUUAUGAAUAAGGGAUGAACGACUUUUAGUAUUGAGUGGAGAACUUGUGGUGAUUGGUUGUGUUAUAACUUGCUUUCUUGGUGUUGAUGAGUUAAAUAUGAUUUAAAUUUCAAGCUAAAGCAUGCUAAUGUGUAGUAAGAUGAUGUAUUUGAGAUCUUAUAGCUUUUAUUUGGCCAAAAUAUGAGUUAUAUGUUGAGUUUCAACAGAAACUGUAUUGCUGUCAAGUUUGGCUGGACAAACCAAUGUCUUGUGAGGGAUUUUCGAGAGUGUUCCUAUUGUCCAAAUAACUUGAAAUUUUUACUGUAAUAACUUCAGCAUGAGUAGGAGGUCUUUGUAAAAUUUCAGCUAAAUUGGACACCGUUAGAUAUGUCAAACAAUUUUCUUAAAAGUACUGCGCGAAGCAGCAAGGUUCUGUGGCAGAUUCUGCAUUUUGUGAGAUAAUUUCUUAUACACUUGAGAAGAUAUUGUAUUUUUGUAACUUUCUAAUAAAGAUAGACUUUAAUAGCUUUCUUAAAAGGUAAAGCUUGCAUUUUUCUUUGAAAAGGUUGAUUUUAUAUGAUUUUUCAAAGUUGAGAUAAUGAUUUUUCAAAGUUGAGAUUCAUGUUUCUUACUUGAGAAAGUUAUGAAUAGAAUUAUGCUAAGUAAUUGAUGUUUCAGUUAUUCCCUUCUUCUUUCCCUCGGACUAUAUUCAACUAUACGGUAUAUAUGUAACGUUGUGAGAGAGAGCAGAGUUGAAAUAUCUCUUUCAUAUUUCUUUUAUUUAAGAAGCUCGGGUUGGCUAUGUUUUGCAGAUGAACUCGCUCGUGUUGGUGCAGGUUCAUUAUUGUGAUUGAGUUUAUCAUCUUGGCGGAUCAAGUAGAUGGGAGUCGAUGAGCUAUGAGGACUACUACAAACGAGAAGGCUGAAGCAGAGAACGUCGUUUCAAAUGUCUAGCAAGUUGCGCGCAUUUGUAAUAUUUUUUAAUUAAACAUCUAGCUAAAUAGAAUAUAUGUGAAGUUUUCAUUAUAUUUGGAUGAUAAUGUAUGAAUAUUUUGGAUGAUAUAUAAUAUUGUUAUUGUUGAUUUUAUCA
This is a long non-coding RNA of Salvia miltiorrhiza (redroot sage), 2813 nucleotides long. RefSeq lists it as uncharacterized. The transcript has 4 exons. NCBI's taxonomy places the organism in Eukaryota, Viridiplantae, Streptophyta, Magnoliopsida, Lamiales, Lamiaceae. The record is from RefSeq and is a predicted model, not a curated record.